Molecule: long non-coding RNA, 683 nt
Organism: Oncorhynchus masou masou (cherry salmon)
Lineage: Eukaryota; Metazoa; Chordata; Actinopteri; Salmoniformes; Salmonidae
Exons: 3
Source: RefSeq, a predicted model, not a curated record
GCUAUUUGAGUGUGAAAAACCAUACGGUUAUCCAUUGUUCACUAGCGUUACCGAGAUCACGUCUCCAACGCUUAUUAAACACUACACGCUAUACACAAGGUGACAUCGCUUUAAGACUUCUGCCAGUCUACCAGCUAGGCAGGAAGACAUUCGCGACCAAGCUUCACUGAGACCAGAAAGUCCUUCAUUUACUUGCAGCCUAGGAGUUUCCAUUUAGCUUGGCAAAUUUGUCAGAGGAUGGGCAGGGGGGGAGAGAGAGAGAACAAGAGAGGAAUAUCCUGGAGUGCUGGAUAUGAGGGAGGAUGUAAAGGAUGCAUUGAAUGCACCAUUUACCAUGGCAGAGAUGAAAAGGACAAUAGGUAAGGCUGGGUUAACUUCAACUGGGAAAGAUGAGGUGUGCUAUGUUAAGUUGUCCCAUCUUAGUGAUGAGGCACUGGCUAAGGUUUUGGUGUUGUACAACAAAAUCAAAUUUAAUUUGUCACAUGCGCUGAAUACAACAGGUGUAGGUAGACCUUACAAGCCCUUAACCAACAAUGCGGUUAAGAAAAUACCCCCAAAAAGAGAAGAAUAACAAAUUAUUAAAGAGCAGCGGUAAAUAACAAUAGCGGGGCUAUAUACAGGGGUUACCGGUACAGAGUCAAUGUGCAGGGAUACCGGUGUCGAGGUAACAUGUACAUGUAGGU